Molecule: long non-coding RNA, 1640 nt
Filed under: Zonotrichia albicollis (white-throated sparrow)
Lineage: Eukaryota; Metazoa; Chordata; Aves; Passeriformes; Passerellidae
Description: lncRNA (ENSZALG00000001312.1)
Source: RNAcentral
GCAGCGCGGAAGCCUCCAAAGACACGCAGCCAGCCCAUGAGGAAUGGACACCUGCCAUCUCUCACAGAGGGGCCCAGGGCCUCCAGGAGCCUUCAGUCACUGCAGAGCACAUGGACAUCCCCCAUCUGUGAAGGAAGAACCAUAUCCUGCCUCCUCUGCUAACUGACACAAAGACAAGGAGGAACAAGAGGGAAGAAGGAAAUUGGAUUAUUCACGUCGAAGCAUUAAUUUCUUGAAUUUGGAGAUGGAAAAAGUGAGGCUUUUGUUCCACUAACAACUCUUGCCUUUAGUUUCUUUUUAACAUUACCCUGAUGGGAAAAGUUUCUGUGUGCUCACAUCUGCACAUAGUACAUGUAGCUUCUUCUCCAUGGAAGCAGUCCGUUCACAAAUGAUGUUCAACCAGUAUUGAGAGAGAGGAGCACCUUCAGCAUUGCUGACUUUUCACACUUCUUAGCAGUUGCCUUCAGAGCUGAUGCAAACUCACUUCUCUGGAUGCUGGAGUUAGAAGAUCCUGUUUUGAGUGAAGAGAGCUCUCCCAUCAUCUCUGGGAGUCACAUUGGAAACGAUGAACUGAAAAGGAGAUCUGGAGCCCCAAGAGGUUUUUUGAUGAUGGCUGUCCUUGGUAAACCCUCUGUCUGGUGGAUCUGCAGCUACUGUAAUUUCCUAUGUCUGUUCCGGAUCAAAGUUCCCUUCCAAAGGUGUUGGUCAGCCAAUAGCAAGAAGAUGAAAUUUCAGAAAGAACAUGACCAAGUCCAACCUGAAGUUUCUCCGCAACACAGCAGAGAGAAACCUUUUUGUUUCCUGUAAUGAAUCAAGAGGACCCAUGUCUGGAUUGCUGCAAAGGACAUUGUGUGCUCUGGUGAUGUGUCUGAGCAAUGUGGUGACUGUAGGCGGACAUCCUCGGUGCUGUGUUGUGGGGAUGAAUAGAUGUCUCGUGCCUGGAAUAAGGAAUGCAGGAGAAGAAAACAGUCAUCUGUAGAGCUCCAUCAAAGGCAGGCAUCGUGCAGAACUGGAUGUCCAGAGGCUUCAUGUCCAGAGAUUUCAUCUGUUGACAGGCAAGUUACUUCCAUGGAAAGCCUGACUUUUUUGGGUCAGAGAUCUGGUUGUUAGAGCUGCAGACUUCCCACAAACGUGCGAGGUCAAGAUGAUCUCUGCUCCGAACAGAGAAAGUUAUUGUGAACGUGCCAAACCCUCUAAAAUUUAGACUGUAAGUUUUUGAGUUGGGAAUCCCAAAUUAAGUGACACAUUUGAGAAUGUUCACAUCGGUCUUUGCCUCAGUUUUUAUGCAUGUAAACCAGAGACAAUGAUUUCACAUUUCCUCAUAGUUGUAUCAUGAAGGUAUAAUCUUAAAUGCAGCAAAAAAUAUAAACUGUUAUGAUGUCCCCAAAAGAAGAAGGGGAGAAGAAAACAAUAGUUUUGUAACCAGUGCAGAGCUGGACAGUGCAUGCAUGAAGCCACAAGCUGGAUAAAGCUAAAAUAUAAUACUGAAAAAUAGCCCAGUUUCAUAAGCCUUGUUUUCUUUAGAUGAGGAAGAAAAUUAGGAAAAAUAAGACAUUGUAAUGCAAUUAAAGACUGUGCUGUGGCACAUAGGCAGAAAGAAGCCAAAUAAAAGUUUGUUGCUUACCUUAAUACUGAUUCCC